GAGGGUAUAGCUCAGCGGUAGAGCGUAUGCCUGGUAUACACAAGGUCCUGGAUUCAAUCCCUCGUACUUCCA
This 72-nucleotide transfer RNA is filed under the name Camelus bactrianus (Bactrian camel). It matches the Rfam family "tRNA". From Rfam's summary of the family: Transfer RNA (tRNA) molecules are approximately 80 nucleotides in length. Their secondary structure includes four short double-helical elements and three loops (D, anti-codon, and T loops). The record is from Rfam by way of RNAcentral. Lineage: Eukaryota; Metazoa; Chordata; Mammalia; Artiodactyla; Camelidae. RNAcentral also lists the same sequence under 2 other names.